CAAGCGCAAGUGAGAGACUGCGGUGAACGAGUGGCAUUUUGAGCAGGGAAAGCGCGAUUGGUCGCCUAAUCGGGAAUUUCCGCAACUCAUCCGACGAGAUCGCGUUUAAACAGAAUCUAGUAACGGUCGGCAGCGGACGCAAAAAGUACGGGGUUGUAACUUUUGGGGGAGCGACAGCCCGGAAAAGUUACCGGGGGUGCGAGUGAGUGUAAGAGAGAACCAGACAGCCAAGUUUUCGAUUUCUUUUCUGUUUUUUUUGUCUACAACUUUUUCCUCUUCGACGUGGCGUUACUAGUUUCUUUUGGGAAGAAGAACGAAAAACCUUUGUGGAGACCGUAAGAAUUCCUCAGGCCUCCACACCUCCCGACUCGUCCCACUGAGCCGACAAAGGGGGCGUCACGAAAACGAGAGGAACCGCCGUGCCAGAUUUUUCCCCCCACGAAUCCUCCCGCAGGACUUGCCUACAAAGGAGGGAGGAAGCAACUUGUAUGGUGGUAAUUCGUAUCAAAAGGGGCGCUGUGUGCGACCCACUGUGUACAUGUUAAGCUAAGGUGUAAUUUGGUAAUUAAUCUGUGAUUUGAAGGGCGCUGUGUCGCGUCCAGUGUAUUCCUUGUUUCAUUAGAAAUAAGUAAGUUAA
Zophobas morio is the source of this 637-nucleotide long non-coding RNA. RefSeq lists it as uncharacterized. Lineage: Eukaryota; Metazoa; Arthropoda; Insecta; Coleoptera; Tenebrionidae. The transcript is spliced from 2 exons. The record is from RefSeq and is a predicted model, not a curated record.